AUACUCUGUUCUCGAUUUGUAUACACUUGAAUGAAUGGUUAUACCCGGUGAAAUUUCGCAUGACCCAAACGUUUGAUCACCAUUGAUUGUCAGCUGUUUACAAGUAGGGGAAACGUGCAGGUUUUAGACGAAGUGUGCAUUUGGUUAUAGGAAUUUCUUUUACCGCUUUUGGCCAUUUACCAUCUUAACUUGUUUUGUUAUAUAUAGCACUGGAUAACACAUGCAAGUUGGAUAAAAACUAUAUUGAAGAGGAUCCAACCAGCUAUUCUCAAGAAAAUGCUGUUUUAGUUUUUCUUUUGUCUAUUUUUGUAAAUUUAAAUAAAAAUUAUGUUGAUUUUA
Molecule: long non-coding RNA, 339 nt
Organism: Saccostrea cuccullata (small rock oyster)
Lineage: Eukaryota; Metazoa; Mollusca; Bivalvia; Ostreida; Ostreidae
Exons: 2
Source: RefSeq, a predicted model, not a curated record